Molecule: non-coding RNA, 89 nt
Filed under: Limosilactobacillus gastricus
Lineage: Bacteria; Bacillati; Bacillota; Bacilli; Lactobacillales; Lactobacillaceae
Also listed under: 1 other name
Description: Lactobacillus gastricus TPP sequence
Rfam family: TPP riboswitch aptamer (THI element)
About the family: Vitamin B(1) in its active form thiamin pyrophosphate (TPP) is an essential coenzyme that is synthesised by coupling of pyrimidine and thiazole moieties in bacteria. The previously detected thiamin-regulatory element, thi box was extended, resulting in a new, highly conserved RNA secondary structure, the THI element, which is widely distributed in eubacteria and also occurs in some archaea.
Source: RNAcentral
AUUAGUUAUCUGGGGCGCUUUUUAGCUGAGAUGAACCCAUUGAACCUGCUCUGGUUAGGACCAGCGAAGGGAGAUAAACGAUUUUAUUC